Long non-coding RNA from Python bivittatus (Burmese python), 1659 nucleotides. RefSeq lists it as uncharacterized. NCBI's taxonomy places the organism in Eukaryota, Metazoa, Chordata, Lepidosauria, Squamata, Pythonidae. The record is from RefSeq and is a predicted model, not a curated record.
ACGGUUGAGAAACAUUGAUGUAAAGGCGCUAACAUACUGAAACAUUGUAAAAUUAAAAUCUGGUAGGCAGGAAGGAAGGGUGGGCUUUUUCAGUGUGUAUCUGAUAUUUUGCCAGUACUUAUUUGCUACAGGUUCAGAGCUAUGACUAGCUCUGAACCAAGCCUGUCCCCCAGCCUAUUAUGAGCUUAGUGCUUCCUGGUCUGCAGAGUUCAAAGCAUGAACUAUAACCAGAACGCAAACUUCAAAAUCCGUUAAAUGAAGGGGGGUGGCUACUUUGAAUCCCUCUUCGCCCACGUUGGCCGGUACUUCUCAUGAGCCGGCUAAGGGCUGGGGGGCAAAAAGAUGGGGAAACCUACAGCUGGGGUUACCAUUUGCAACCGUGACUUCGGUAUACACUAACCCCAACAUGGCAAUGGCUGCAGCGUGGGGCCAUGGUCUCUGUUUCUGCUGUCUGGACUUUGGUCUUUCCUCUUCCUGGCCGGUCAGAUGUUCUUUGAUUUCAGUCUGCAACUGCUGGAAACUCAUGCCUUUCCUUCUCCCCCAGCAGUUCAGGACCUGCCUCAGAAAGUUCUGCUUUCUGCCCUAAGCGUCCCUCACUUCAGCCCUAUCAAUAUUCUAAAGGCAAGCUUUUCAAUGUGUUGUUCACAUUCCUCCCCCUGGAGACAUUCAGGCAUUGCUAGCAUUUCAUGCGCAUGGCUCCUAGUCUUUCUCUUUGUCUGUUUAGUGCCUCUGCCUUACAUCUCAGGCAUCUUCCAUUGCGUGCCACUCUUCCUGGCCAAAUCAGUCCUCUCUUGCGAUGCUCCCGUUGUCUGUCCUGUGUGGAAGCGCUUGGAUUCCAAAUAAAGCGUGUACCUUGAAUGUUCCUGCAUCGAGUAAGCGGAUUCAUCACUCAUGCUGCAUGCAAAGAGUUUGUUAUCUCUAGAGGCAAAAUUUGGACGGUUCGAAUGGGGUAAGUGAUGUUGUUAGUGCUGAAUAGUCUAUGCUGUUGAUCACGAAUAAGACCAGAAGUAGACAUGUCCCCUCAAGAAGCUUACAGCUAUCACCAACUGCAGGGACUGACAACCAAAGUGCUUACUGAGAAGUAAGUCCAGUUGAUCUAAGUGGGGCUUCUUGGCUUGUAAGCAUGGCUUGGAUUGCAUCCUGAACCUUAUGUCCAAGACAGAUUUCCUUGUUCUCUGUUUUCUCUUCUGCUCAGAUGGGACACCUCUUUCCUGAGAGUCACCUAUGCCGCAUCUUGUUCUUUGGAAAUACGGUGUUAUGGGAUCCUGCCUGACUUAAACAUGUUGUCUUCCAGAAAGGGUUCCUCCUCCAGAUGGCACUGUAAUCCCAAGAUUGCUUCGCAUGAAGAACAGAAAUGCUGUUAAGAGAAGAAUAUUUCAGGAGCGGAUGGUCCGGAGGAAAAGAAGUAUAGAGCCCGAGCAAGGAAAAGGGCAAGCAUAAAAGCACAACGUGGAAAGUUGCAAGUCCUCUACAGGCUGGUCAGUAUCAGAGGAGGAAAAAGCAGAAGAAAUUCCAGAGGGAGGAAUUAAGGCAGAACAGCGUUUGUACGAAGAAAACUUUGUUAUAGAAUAGUUAUACAAUAGAGAAUGGUAUAGAGGAAAUACUGUAAUAGUAAUUGAAUAGUCAUGGAAUAUAGUUACUGUUAUACUAAUUAGCAUA